This 580-nucleotide ribosomal RNA is filed under the name Duvalius lespesii. RNAcentral describes it as "partial 16S ribosomal RNA". The stretch from base 339 to 497 matches the Rfam family "Bacterial large subunit ribosomal RNA", at positions 2473 to 2632 of the family's 2925-position model. Lineage: Eukaryota; Metazoa; Arthropoda; Insecta; Coleoptera; Carabidae. The record is from RNAcentral.
AAUGGCUGCAGUAAUAUAACUGUACAAAGGUAGCAUAAUCAUUAGUUUUUUAAUUAAAAGCUUGUAUGAAAGGUUGGACGAAGUAAAAUCUGUCUCUUUUUAAUAUAAUUAGAAUUUAAUUUUUAAGUAAAAAAGCUUAAAUUUAUAUAAAAGACGAGAAGACCCUAUAGAGUUUAAUAAUUAAUUUUAAUUAAUUAAUUUAGAUUUAUUUAUUUUAUUUUUUAUAUAAUUAUUUUAUUGGGGUAAUAAAAAGAUUAAUAUAAUUCUUUUUUUUAUUUUACAUUGAUAUAUGAUUAAAAUGAUCCAUUUUUAUGAUUAAAAGAUUAAAUUACCUUAGGGAUAACAGCGUAAUUUUUUUAAAGAGUUCUUAUCGAUAAAAAAGUUUGCGACCUCGAUGUUGGAUUAAAGAUUAAUUUAGGUGUAGAAGUUUAAAUUUUUGGUCUGUUCGACCAUUAAAUCUUUACAUGAUCUGAGUUCAAACCGGUGUAAGCCAGGUUGGUUUCUAUCUUUAUAAAAUUUUUAUAUUUUAGUACGAAAGGACCAAAUAUUUAAUAUAUAAAUAUUUAAUUAUUUUGAAUAU